GACAAUAAUCCAGGCGAUGCCAAAUUAAAGACUGGCACCAUUCCCAAGGCAAAGGCUGGCACCGGUGUUGGCAAUCCAGUUCGAAAACCUAUUGUUGUUCCAUGUAGACAGACAACAAACCUGCAGUUCCCAAGAAGACGGCUGGUUUUCAUCCACGUGAUACCGAGGUGAAAGCAGAUAGCGAGGAGGUCGAUCCGGCACACAGAACCUUGUUUGAUGAUUAUUGUAUUGAUACAGAUAAUCCGCUUGGUAAAGGUAGCUUUGGCACUGUGUUUCCGGGGACCAGUAAAGCCGAUGGCAAACCGCCUGGAUCUGGAUUGGUUCUUACAGAACUAGCAGUGUUGCUCAAGUUAAAGGAAAAUCCAAACCCUUAUGUGAUCAAACUUUAUGACAGCUACAGAUGUGGCCUUUAAAAACGCGUGUUUUCUCCCGCGGCAUUCGCCAAUUCGUCUCACGGAGUCUCGCAGAAUUCUGCAAGUGCUUUCGGGGGGGCUACUUUCCCUUUUCCCUUAAUGUGUUUCGCUUCACAGAAUAUCCACCAGGUGGCGCAUAAAAGUGUAUGCUUUGUCAUUGCGGUUGUUUCCAGAAGUUAAUAAGGGCUUUGCUGAAUAUAUAACAUUGCUAUUAAAACAGCAAAGUGACGUCAACCCCUUCUUGCCAGCAUAACAGCGCAUACAACUAAUAAGACGUGCAAUGCGCAUUUAUACUAAAGUGCAACAGAGACCCUUACGAAAAUAAACCAUGGGUCUAUUGUGGUAAAAGUGUAGUAAUCAUGUUUUUUUUGGUGUAUUGAUUACUACGGGUUUACUACACUUACCAUGGUACACCUUUAUACACCUUUCUGCUUUGUUUAAAUUGACAAGCAUUUUAUUCGCCACUGUCAACACGGUUUGUGAUUGAUUUACUGAUUUAUUACAGAAACUUGUCAGAAGCAAAGCUGUUGUUCUAAGCAUCUUUAAAUAUAUGUUUUGAA
Misgurnus anguillicaudatus (oriental weatherfish) is the source of this 973-nucleotide non-coding RNA. Lineage: Eukaryota; Metazoa; Chordata; Actinopteri; Cypriniformes; Cobitidae. The record is from RefSeq and is a predicted model, not a curated record.